UUUCUGGGACACCCCGUAUACUGUACUUAAAUAAUAGGGACCUUUUCUGUAAACAAGGUUAGGCAAUGUAUUUUAUUGUUAACUCAUUAUGGUAAUGAACUUCAUUAAUGUUCUUACUGUUGAAUUAAAUGCGUUAGAUAUUUAAUGACCAUAUUGUAAUAGAGUUUUGAUCGGCGUUACUCGCUAUAGUUCGGUACGGCAGCCGAGGAGGUGGCGGUAUUCGUCCUACGGGGUAUUUGUCCUACCAACCGAACGUCACUUCGGGCAUGUUCGGUAGUCCUAAAAAUUCCUGUUUCAGGAAUUUUGUCCUGGCUAACGUACUAAAUCUGUCAACGUCGCAUACUUUUCAAUCUUGUUUUGUUUUGGAAUUUGACAAGAUUAACCUCAGAAAAAGUUUAAAAUUAUAAUUUUAUGAACAUUGACGAAUAAUGUUAUGAAUAAUGUAAUAGAACCUGAUAUAAAAUAAUCCGGAAAUAUUUACAAAUAAAGCAUAAACAAAAUGAAAGUGAUAGCAACACGAUUACCUUUGAUAAUGUGUUUUUUAUAUAAGAAUACGUCUACAUGGGUUGAAAUCUCAGAAAAUAUUAAGCUAUCCACAAAUUCCUGAAAAUAAAUUAGCCGUGAUUUGCGGAAAAAAUGUUCUUAAUUAUUUUUCCCACAUGAUGUCCUUUCAGGUUCCAGGAAACAGCACGGGCAUGUAUUAGGCAUAAUAAGUAAUUAUAAAAAUAUGAGCAAAAAUGAGAUGGUUUAAAAGAGUGAAAAUUUUAAGGUUAAGAAAUCUGAAACUCAAAGGAAAACUGAUUAAAAACUGAUAAAUAAGUACCGUUAAACUGGAAAAGCAAACUACUAUACGCAUAAUACAAAAGACAAUUUAUCAUCUUUAAAACCAUAAGGCAUAUGAUAUAUGAGAUAGGUAGCACAAGGACAUAUCGGCAAGCCUUAGGUUGGUGUUUACGCGUGUAGGUGUGAAUCGCUAUGGUGAUCUGGUCGGAGAUAGAAAAAUAUAAAAUAUUUAUUACAUAACCACACUUAAUCUGAUGAUUUCCUAUGCAUUCAAUACCAAGUUCAAUACAUCUGAUUGUAAUAAGCAUAUUGGCCAUACUCUUCAUAUACAU
Molecule: long non-coding RNA, 1115 nt
Organism: Sitophilus oryzae (rice weevil)
Lineage: Eukaryota; Metazoa; Arthropoda; Insecta; Coleoptera; Curculionidae
Exons: 5
Source: RefSeq, a predicted model, not a curated record